AUGAAAGAAGAAAUGAGUUUCUUAGGUCAUUCAAUGGUCGAUUAUAUUUGACGUGAACACAUAGUUGAUCGCCUAUUAGGAUUUGACAGUUGAAAUAGAAGAAAUGAGUUUCUUAAUUCAUUCAAUGGUUGAUUAUAUAUGACGUGAACACAUAGUUGAUCGCCUAUUAGGAUUUGACAGUUGAACUAUAUCCUAGGGUGAUCCAGAGCUAUAAGGACAGAAGGAAUUACUACAUUAUUCUUCUACUGGUUCUUGAGAGUAAAUUAUAUACUUCAUGUUAUCCGGUUGUUAAGGAGUGUUGCUAGACGCCACCCUUGAUUAGUAUAUUGAUAUGAUCAAUUUACUAUCGGUUUA
RNAcentral lists this long non-coding RNA (354 nucleotides) under Nicotiana benthamiana. RNAcentral describes it as "long non-coding RNA (NBEN_LNC021775)". The record is from RNAcentral. Lineage: Eukaryota; Viridiplantae; Streptophyta; Magnoliopsida; Solanales; Solanaceae.